Long non-coding RNA from Ictalurus punctatus (channel catfish), 1732 nucleotides. The record is from Ensembl. Lineage: Eukaryota; Metazoa; Chordata; Actinopteri; Siluriformes; Ictaluridae.
CAACUGUACAGAGGAGAGUGGGGUAGUGAGGGGACUGCAUAGAGGAGUGUGUGAAUUCUGGCAGUGCGGGGACUGCACAUUGGAGAGUGGGGCAGUGAGGGGACUAUACAGAAGAAAGUGGGAAAGCUGGACUGUGAGGCGACUGUACAGAGGAGAGUGGGGUAGUGAGGGGACUGCAUAGAGGCAUGUGAACAGCCGAGCACAGCUGAGAGUGGGGCAAUAAGGGGACUGGACAGAGGAGAGUGGGGCAGUGAGGGGACUGUACAGAGGAGAGUGGGGCAGUGAGGGGACUGGACAGAGGAGAGUGUGGCAGUGAGGGGACUGUACAGAGGAGAGUGCAGCAGUGAGGGGACUGUACAGAGGAGAGUGUGGCAGUGAGGGGACUGGACAAAGGAGAGUGUGGCAGUGAGGGGACUGGACAGAGGAGAGUGUGGCAGUGAGGGGACUGGACAGAGCAGAUUGUGAAUGCUGGGAAGUGGGGGGACUGGACACAGGAGAGUGGAGAAGUGAAGGGACUGUAGAGAGGAGAGUGGGGCAGAGAAGGGACUGUAGAGAGGAGAGUGGGGCUGCUGGGAAGUGAGGGGUUUGAACAGAGGAGAGUGGGGCAGUGAAGGGACUGCACAGAGAAGAGUAGGGCUGUGAGGGAACUGCACAGAGGAGAGUGGGGCAGUGAGGGGGCUGCACAGAGGAGAGCAGGGCAGUGAGGGGAUUGGACAAAGGAGAUUGGGAAUGCUGGGCACUGGGGGAAUUGCACAGAGGAGAGUGGGGUAGUGAAGGGACAGCAUAGACUAGUGUGUGAAUGCUGGACAGUGAGGGGACUGGACAGAGGAGAGUGGGGCAGUGAGGGGACUGAACAGAGGACAGUGGGGCAGUGAGGGUAUGGACAGAUGAGAGUGGGGCAAUGAGCGGACUGGACAGAGGAGAGUGGGGCAGUAAGCGGACUGGACAGAGGAGAGUGGGGCUCCUGUGUAGUGAGAGGUUUGGACAGAGGAGACUGUGAAUGCUGGGCAGUGGGGAUACUUCACAGAGGAGAGUAGGGCAGUGAAGGGACUGCAGAGUGGAGAGUGGGGCAGUGAAGGGACUGUAGAGAGGAGAGUGGGACAGUGAGGGGACUGUACAGAGGAGAGUGGGGCAGUGAGGGGUUUGCAUACGAUAGAGUUGGAAUGCUGUGCUGUGACGGGACUGCACAGAGUAGCAUGGGGCAGUGAAGGGACUGUUGAGAGGACAAUGGGGCUGCUGGGCAGUGAGGUGACUGUACAGAGGAGAGUGGGAAUGCUGGGCAGUAAGAGGACUGUAGAAAGGAGAGUGGGGCAUUGAGGAUACUGUACAGAGGAGAUUGGGGCAGUGAGGAGACUGUACAGAGGAGAGAGGGGCAGUGAAGGGACUGUAGAGAGGAGAGAGGGUCAGUGAGGGGUUUGCACAGGAUAGAGUCGGAAUGCUGUGCAUGUGAAGGGACUGUACAGAGUAGAGUGGGGCAGUGUGGGGACUGUACAGAGGAGAGUGUGGCAGUGAAGGAGGAGGAGAAAAGUGGGGCAGUAAAAGGUUUUCACCGGAUAGAGUCGGAACGCUGUGCUGUGAAUGAACUGCACAGAUUAGAUUGGGGCAGUGAGGGGACUGUACAGAGUAGAGAGGGCCAGUGCGGGCACUGUACAGAGUAGAGUGGGGCAGUUCGGGGACUGCCCAGAGUAGAGUGGGGCAGUGCGGGGACUGCCCAGAGAGAGUAGAGUGUGGC